GAUCAUGGCUCAGGAUGAACGCUAGCUACAGGCUUAACACAUGCAAGUCGCGGGGCGAGCAUGAAGUCAGCUUGCUGACUUUGAUGGCGACCGGCGCACGGGUGAGUAACGCGUAUCCAACCUGCCUGUUACCACGGCACAGCCCGUCGAAAAGGCGGAUUAAUGCCGUAUGUGGUCUUGAAAGGGCAAUCUGUAUCAUGACUAAAAGGUUCAGCGGUAACGGAUGGGG
Molecule: ribosomal RNA, 229 nt
Filed under: uncultured bacterium
Lineage: Bacteria
Description: partial 16S ribosomal RNA
Rfam family: Bacterial small subunit ribosomal RNA
Source: RNAcentral